RNAcentral lists this unclassified non-coding RNA (337 nucleotides) under soil metagenome. RNAcentral describes it as "partial contains 5.8S ribosomal RNA, internal transcribed spacer 2, and large subunit ribosomal RNA". The stretch from base 1 to 120 matches the Rfam family "5.8S ribosomal RNA", at positions 35 to 154 of the family's 154-position model. The record is from RNAcentral.
GAUGAAGAACGCAGCGAAAUGCGAUAAGUAAUGUGAAUUGCAGAAUUCAGUGAAUCAUCGAAUCUUUGAACGCACAUUGCGCCCGCCAGUAUUCUGGCGGGCAUGCCUGUUCGAGCGUCAUUUCAACCAUCAAGCCCCCGGGCUUGUGUUGGGGACCUGCGGCUGCCCGCAGGCCCUGAAAACCAGUGGCGGGCUCGCUGUCACACCGAGCGUAGUAGCAUCAUCUCGCUCAGGGCGUGCUGCGGGUUCCGGCCGUUAAAAAGCCUCUAAUACCCAAGGUUGACCUCGGAUCAGGGAGGAAGACCCGCUGAACUUAAGCAUAUCAAUAAGCGGAGGA